Molecule: unclassified non-coding RNA, 233 nt
Filed under: Hevea brasiliensis (rubber tree)
Lineage: Eukaryota; Viridiplantae; Streptophyta; Magnoliopsida; Malpighiales; Euphorbiaceae
Source: RNAcentral
GUAAACUGAAACAUGGUUGGUGGUAAUUCUUACCAGAUGAGCUAAAGCAUUGACGUUUUCAGGGAGAGACUUGAGCAAUUUCUGCUUGGUAGGCUCAUACACACCAACGAAAACGGCAGUGGCACUGUAGACGAGUUUUUAUUGUAUCAAUUGGAUAUAGAGCAGCUUCUACAACGAGGCUAGCAGCACCUCCAGCUAUAGCACCUUCAUAUAAGGUACGCACAAAAUCAAAA